This is a long non-coding RNA of Apis cerana (Asiatic honeybee), 10043 nucleotides long. RefSeq lists it as uncharacterized. Lineage: Eukaryota; Metazoa; Arthropoda; Insecta; Hymenoptera; Apidae. The record is from RefSeq and is a predicted model, not a curated record.
GUUGCUAAAGGUUGCGUCAGAGCUGUAGCAUUUGCAUGAAAGACUCCUCGCGAGAGCGUGCACAUACUUUUCUUUCGCUUAUUAUUAAAAUAAAUGGACUUCCAAAUGAGACACGUUAUCAGCGUAAAUUUUACUUGUAAAAUCUAAAAAUCUAAAUCGCGAGCGCGGAAUCUCGAAACGGCGGCAACGUGCCUUGCAUCUGCGAUUCUGAAAUCUCUCGUUACUACUACGGUGAAAUUAAAUAACAGCGCCGGCGUACACGCGAAGUAGGAAAAAAAGAAGACGAGGAAAGAAAGAAAGAAAAGGAAAGAAAAAAUGGUCAAAGACGAAUCUUUUCGAAACGAUUCUCUCGAGUGGGAAUGUUAAAAUAAUAAAAAGAAAAUAUCUUUCAAUUCUUAUAUAUAUAUAUAUAUAAAUCCAAGAGCGGAGCUUUUGGAAAUUACAUUAUUAUACCUCGAUAAAUUUUCAACACCCUUAAAAUCUCGAACGACCAAAUUCACCCUGAAAAUAUUUUGCCCCAUUUACAACAAUUUUUCUCCCGAAGAAAGAAACUAUCGACUUACCGGUUUCAAUCGGUCCCCCUCCAAGCGCCUACAGUUCAUAUUGAUAUAUAUAGGGUGCGACGAUAUCCGAGCCCCUAUCCGCAGUAGAUCCACGCACGUAGCCAGGACAAUCAUAACAAGCGGCUUGUCGAAGGGCGAUGCGGAACAGCAGCCACGACAGCACUACCAUCGUACAGGGGUAAGCGUAGAUGAAACACCGGCGGGCUUAAGUUCACCCUCCUGAAUGAAAGAAAGAAGAAAGCGCUGUGGGGAUGGAUGGAUCCUGGGAUACGCGACGAUUACAUCGGUGGCUCCGCUGGAAUUCGCCACGGAACGGUGCCGGUUCAGCGAGCGUCGCGAAUCGUUCCUAUAAAUUAUCCUCGCUAAAACGACACCCGGCAUUCGCAAUUAUUUAAAUGUACCGGAUAACGACGAGUCUUCCUCGAUGCUGUAAGGCGGUUCGAGGGAGAUGACGGAGGGCCGAUCCUGAUUAUUUUAAUGCUGGAAAGGAAAGGGAAAGGUGUGGGGAUUGGAUCGCAAAUACCAGACAAUUGUCAUUGAUCAUCCCAAGGUUACAAGAUAUAUCGAAAGACCUGAUCUUCGAAGUACGCGCAUUCUGAGUCACACUAGAGGCCGUGAUUGUUUGAUGUUGGAGUUGUGGAAUUCCUACUGGAGAUUAAACUUGGGACCCUCGGCUUGGGUCCAAAGCGAGACUUAUAACACCACACGUGGCACGUGUCGAAUUCCUCAACUCUGUGGUCUCGAGUAUCACUGUCCUCGAACACGACGGCGGUUCCAGGCUUUUAUAACUUUGAACAUUUCCAACACCGUUUGCCUUUGGAUAAUGUGAAAAGGAGAAAAAUCAAGUCGAUUCAUAUUUCAAUAUAGAUAAUAUAAUUGAUUCGAUGAUAUAAUCUUGAUGGAAGGAAAAAUGAAUGAUCAGAGAAUCUUGGUUAAUUUAAUUGCUACAACAAUUGAUGAAUUUUAGGUAUAUCGUAUCUGAACGAGAUGAUUUCUUUGCCAAUUACUUAUACGAAUGUUAUAUGUUAUCUUUCUGGCAUAGGUAUAGUGCACAUAUAAAUCAUAUCUCUAACUACCCUAUGGAAGAGUGACGCAGUGUUAUCAGAAUAGGGGAUCUCGGUUGGUGAAUAGAUUCGCGUAUAUACAUAUAUAUAUAUAUAUGUAUAUAUCUAUUUUGCGUUAACCCCUCUGUUCGACUGAUUCAAUAUCGAAUCAGUUCCAAAUCGGUUGGGAUUUAACGAAAACGAAUUACGAGCAACGAAACAGAAUUAUCGUAGCAAAUAAAAUGCAUUUGAAAUUCGCACGAAAGCCUAUUCAUACCUGUUCGAUUUCUUCCUCGAGAAAAGAUCAUUGUUACUUGGCGCAAGAAAAUAAGAAGGAAAAUUUUUUAGCACAAUUUUCUGCGGAACGAAAGAUUUUUUUCCUUUUCAAAAGUUAUUUAACGCGGCCACCUUUCCCCCUUCUUUCUUCAAUCUUAUUUCCACGCUUUUUGUUUAUACGUAUUUUUCGAAGCAUGAAAAACCGCGAGUACGAGAAAACACGAAUCCAGAGUUAACGCGCGAGUUCUUGUAACAAUUGUGUGUCGCGUGAUACACACAGUUCUUUUAUUUCUCUUCUUUAAAUAUUACGUACGUAUUACGUAUUUAACGUCGGGCUACAUUGCAUAAUCAUUUCGCUGGAUCUCGCGUAGAAUUAACAUUUAUUUUCUUCCCCACGAAACGAGUGGAAACACGUGGAAACAGGCACGACACACUAUCGAACAACACGCGUUCUUUAUUAAGUGAAAUUUCGUUUAAUCGGGCCUAAAAGGCAGGAGGAGGACGAAGAGGAAGGAAGGAAUAAAAGAACGAAAGAAAAUGUUGCGUUUUCUGGCUCGAAUCACAAUGGAGGUAAAUUGAAAAUAGACGCGUUUCCAGCUGGAAAUCUUCUGGCCCAAUUACCAUCAAGAUAUAUUCAAUCGUGGGGACAUCUAAUCAGACACCACAGGCGGGUGAAUCUGCGGGCAGUUUAUAAAUUGGACCCUCCUUGUAUAUGCUGAUAGAAGUCUGGGAUAGAGAAGGGAAGCCUGAAUCAAUGUGAUGGAACUCAGAAUUAGUGAGAAAGAGAAGAGAAGAGAGAGGAAGAGAGAGAGAGGAGAGUUACGGGGUAGAAGUAGAUUUCAACCCUCCCGAGGGGAUUUUCAGGCUAGCGAGUUCCGUACCGGGGUACCUUUAGUCUCUCCACUCGUGUUCUGUGAGCCGACAUCCCGCUGCACUGUAUGGUGACAUUCAUCUCGAUUCAAUUUUCCCGGAUAAAAAUUAUAACUGUGUAGCUGGACUGUACAGGGUGUCCCUGGUACGACUGUACGAAGUUGUGCACUGGCUUAAAGCAAACAAAAGUCAUCAUAUCGUAAUGAAUCGAGAAAUUGGCAAUUGCAAUUACGAAUUGAAAAUUUUUCCAAAAUUUUUCACCUUCACCUUCCUCGAAAAACGUGGAAUCGCGUAUACGAGUAACAAGACCACCCUGUGUAACUUUUCAUCGAUAUCAUCGAGGCUAACAUUACGCUACGAGAUUACGAUCGAAGAAUGAAAGAUUCAAUAAUCCUCUUUCCCUCCUCAGGAAAGUUUCAAUUCAAAAAUUGAACAGUAAAAUGAUAAUAAAAAGUUUUUUAUCACCGACGCGAGAAUAGAAUUGGCGAAAGAGAAAAAGAGAUCGUGUUUACAUUAGCCAAAGACGAAGACAAAUAGACAUUAAUAAUUCCAACACUGUUAUUUCUAUCGUCUAAAGGAAUAAGAAGUUUUCAUAAGCAGCUUACAAAACAAGGAACCGAACCGUCGUUCCAUCGACUCGAUCUUAAUCUUUCUUUAAAUUUUAAGGAUCACCCUUUGAUCGAGGUAAAUCCUUGUAUCGUUCUCGUGCUCACUUGCCCAGCAGAAUCGUGCGACCACGAUACACCUACGGCCGAUGAGACUCGAUGUGGCGCCUAGACGUGGACGAUUUGCUCGAGCCAAUAUGGCGGAGGACGAGACGCAACGAGGUUUAAAUCGGAAUUCGUGGCGGGCAUCGCCGCUCGAAUGAGUUACAGUACGCUGGAUUUCCGGUUUCUUAUCCCACGCGGCCACCAUUGUGACCGCCGGGUGGUAAACGGAAUCGUGUUUCGUACGACCGCGAUAUUUUACCUGCCAACGACACACGAGAGGCGUAGAGAAGAAGCGGUUUCUCGCCACCGUGGACGAGAGAUCGUGGACCCGUGUGGCGGGUGGAGAGGUUCGGGAAUCAAGUCGUACAAAUGGGUUGUCAUUCAUUUCCCCUGAUUCUGAUUCAUGCCUCCCCGCGGUUUCGUAUUACUUAUAUAUAUAUAUAUAUAUAAAAGAAGCGUGCCCGCGGUUUAAACAAAGCCCGACUUACCUGAUCUUCGCGUUCCAGGCAUGCCAGUGCGCCGGUACAAAAAGGCAAAAAUUCAACAGUUCAUCGUUUCUUUCUCGUGAAAUUUGAACGAAAGUAAUCGAACGAAAAGUACACCCUGAUGUGUUGCGUGUUUAAUCGCACUGGGAAGUCGCGCGAAACAAACAGUCCAUUCGUCACAAAUAAGAAUCGAGGAGGCAAAUAGAAUUGCGGAUCGAAUUGAAAUUUGCGAGGUUUCCUCGAUGAAACGACGAGAUACAUCGAACGGAAUAAUAAUGAAAAAAUAAUAAGACGGAGGUAACGAGCUUAAACCGGUUAUACGAUAUUUCUUUUUAAAAGUGUAAGCGUUGCCAGUCCUCCAGAUAAUGUGCGUUACCUCCUCUGUUUACUCCUAUUUUCAUUCCCCUUCCCUCGUCAAGACGACUUCCUGCCUACUUUUCUCGUUAUACGUGAUGAGAGAAAAGGAAAGGUAGGAGGCGGGGGGGAAGUAGGAGAGGUGGAAAGUGGGAGGGAGAGAAAGUGAAUGAGAAAGAGAGACAGGAAUGCAAAUUGAAGUUAGCUCGUUUGCAUAAUUCAAUCCUUUAUGCUAUCCUUUCGAUCGAUAAUGCGAGAAGUUGCAUAAUACAUUUUUUAUUAAGCGCCCAGGCUAACACGGACAAGAGGGUUGAACGAGAGAGAGAGAGAGAGAGAGAGAGAGUGGGAACGUUUCGCGCGGUCGCCAUCAAAUAUGCAAUAAAUUUCCGCGAACGUAAAUAUUUCAACGCGUUUAACAAAUCUCCAGUUGCUGAACUGUCCGUACUAAAACCGCAAUUUCCUGUCGCUACAUAAAUGUCGAAAAUCCUGUAAACGACGUUUUAAUUAGAGACUUGCGCUUACCCGGCUAAACACGCGGCGGUGACCAUCAUUUGUGCCGGCGUCAAUUAUCAUUUAAACAGUACCGGUUAAAUUGCACGUGCGUUACACACGCGUGUGCAUACGUGUUGCCAUUUCAUAAUUUACUUUACGUCUUUAAACGAAUGUUUAUCCCAUGAUCGAUGCAAGAUAAUGAGUUUACCUUCUCGCGUACUAGUGGUAGUAGCAGUGGAAGAACUUUCUUUUUUUUUUUAUUAUUUUUCACGUUUUAUGGAAGGAUCAACCUGCCCUCGUUAUCGAGAAUUUUCUUCCUUUUUUUUUUUCCUUUUCUUCUCUCUACCCCCUUUCCAUUCCCUUUUUAAAGUUACAGCUUCUCCGCUUACACAUCGAUCGGUUCCGUUUUAAAUUUCGAACUUUUCUAUAACUUGUUUUUUUUUUUUUUUUUUUAUUAAGUAACAAGAGCGAGUUUCGAGCGAAACCCACGACAAAUUCGUUGCUCGUCACACGAUGUUGGGUAUGGAAAGUUUGUUACGUACUCGUUUGUAGGCACACCCCUCCUGAGAAAACUUGGUUCAACUUUUGAAGACGGUCCGGGAUGCGUCAGGAACAUAAUGCGUUGCUUGUUCCUGCAUUGUUUAUAACAAAUAUUUGGGAUACGGGCAACACUGGGUGAAUAUGAUGUACGAAACUUUCUAUUACAUUUUUAUAUAUAUAUAAAAGAAUGGGAUAGAAUACGGAAUAGAUAUUCGACACAAAUUUCGAUAGUUCUUUUCGAUUUCAUCCAUUAAUGAGAGAUGAAACAGAAUAAACAUUAGCUAUUAAACGGUCCAGAAUCACGUAAGUAUGAAUGGUAAAACAAGAUACACUUAUUAAAUUUCAAGAUCGUAAUGAAAGACAGUAGAUUAAAGAAAGAAAUACUCGAUAAUUUUCUUCGUUCAAUGAUUUUGUGGUAGAUUAGAGAUAUCCAUUCACUCGAAUAAAUUGUUAUUUUUUUGGUGACAGAGUAAUUUUUAAUUUCCCUAGACAAAAUUGGUGGCAUUCAGAUAGGAUAUCCGACUCGGGAUAUCGAUGGCCUGUAACAAAUUGCGUUCAUAAAAUUUCGGGAUCACGUACACACAGCACGUCCCUCGCAUUAAUCCCAAGGAUAAUUCGAUUCACCGAGAUCGAAACCGGAGUCGUAGACCUAAUCCAUCUUUAUAACGAAGAUUGUGCCUACCAAUGGAAAAUCGUUAAGAAAUCCCUACCCUCUGAAAGCUGAAAGGAUUUCGAAGUUCGUCACGCUGUGGUUGUAUUUUGGAUGCUGGAAAUAAUUCAUUGCAUUUGGGGAUGAUCGAAAGAAGGGUCGGGAAAAAGACUUUUCCACCUUAAUAUCCUUUGGUAAAAGUUCUGCAGGAUGAACUCAUUUAUAAUAUCCUUCCUUUUACUAAAGUACGAGUGAAAAUUCUCAUUUUCUUUUCUUUUUCCUUUUUUCCUAUCUCGAUUAUUAUUAAAAUAUCCAUUUAACGAUUAAUUAAGAGAUCUAUAUAGAUAAUGAACAGUGAGUUGUUUUGAAUUUUUUUAAAAAGGCUUUUUUUAAAAAUGUACAAAAUUUAAAGAGACGGUAGUAGUGAGAAAAUAGGUCAGUAUCCAUUUAACGAUCAAUUUAAAAAAUUUAUCGAAUAAUGAAGUAAAAAUGUUAACGAAUUUUCUUGAAUUUUUUUUUUUUUUUUUUUUUUUUUCAGAACCUUUGAAAGCUUGAAAUAAUUUAAAACGUACAAAGAGAAAAAUGGAAUGACGUCAGUAUGAGAAAGCAAGUUGUAGAAACCCUCAAAAUAUUUCCUUAUUAAUCAUCGGAACAGGAACACGAUUUCGUUCCAUUCUAAUAUUAACUCGCAUCCAUAAGGAGAAUUUUUUUCUUUUUCCUUUUUGAAACAGUGCAUGUUCAAGACCUAAGCUGUUUCGAGCGUUCCAUGCCCGGUAACGACCAUACAUUCUCCCCUCCCACGUAGCUCGUGGAUCCUCGUACAUUCCUGCAAGUAGACAGAUAUUUCACUUCAACUAACAUGGCAAGUGUCGCCGGUUGUUCUCCACGGUAUGUUGGAGUGUUUGCAGAAUUCGUAUACGCACGAAUAUCCCCUACGAAACCGAUGUAACAUUGAAAAGUUUCGAAUGCUCGGUCGAAUCAAGUGCGGCCAAGUAUUUGACUUACUCUCAACCCAAUUCGUUCCGCCAAGAAGCACGAUUGAUGGUUCCUCCUUUUUUUUUCCUUUUUCUUUCUUUUUAUAUAUAUAUAUUUUUUUCCUUUAAUUGUUUUACCCCUCGCUCGAACGUUCAAGGAGCGAAUUUCGAGGGAAAAUCGAGUUGUUGAUCGCCGACUAACAGUCUGUUUUCGAUCGUUUCGACGUAUCGCAUAGCGGCGUCGAAGGCAGCGCGAAACUUUUACUCGACGCUAUCGCGCGACGUUUAAUUAACGGAUUAAAUGGUGAACGACGGCGAUGAAUUAAACACCGUGACCGGUAUCGUUUUGCGCGUUUCGAACAGGUUUUCAGCGGAGAUUAAUUUUUCUAAAAUGAACUGUAGGGAUUGCUCGAAACGGCCGAUAACAAAAGACAAUGACCGAUGGCGCGCUGUCAACGUUGAACGGAUAAGGAGAAAAGGGAAGAACAAUGGAAUUCCGAUUUUAAUUCAAUUCAAUCAUCGAUACAGGUGUGCGUGUUUAUCCACGGAUCCGUGAGAGAUUUCUGUACGGGGAACGAAAGCUCGAAUAACGAACCGAUACCGGGAAAUACUUUGGUACGAAAAUAUUGUACGAUCGGUCGCCAAAAAUUGGUUUGUAUUACAAAGAUUAUUAUUUGUAUUAUUUUAAUGAAAAUUCGCGCAGAAUAUAAUGGAUUGUUCAAAUUUUCGUGAAUAUAAAUUUUUUUACGGUAGAACAAUGGGCCAAUGAAAAUCUGAAUAUUCAUUUUAUUUUAUUCCGUCUUAUUACAAAAUUAUAUUUUGUAAAAAAAAAGGGGAGGGGAAGCAUUUGAAUUUCCCUCGACAUUUUUACUCGCAACAAUCUAUUCAUUAUUCAUUCAAAUGUAAAAAAAAAAUUUAUCAUCGAUUUUUAAUUGAACUCGAUUGUAUCUCGAUGUAUCAUUGAUGAUGAAAUUAAUGCGAAUUCGAGCGAUUUAUUUAAUCCAAUCGUUCCUUAAGAGAAAUAUAAAACGGCGAUGUUAUCUUUUUCCACGUUUUAAACCUGGGAUUAAACUCACCAGAUUAAAGGAGCGAAAUUGGCGAGCCGGGGCCGACGAGGGAGGCGUGGUAAUUUUUUCGAAAAUAUUCCGCGGCCAAUCGGGCGGAAAGAAAUUUCGGCGUUAAAACCGCGCGUCCCCUGUUCUCAUUCGCGAUUCAAUAACAGAAAAGAUUGAACGGAAGGUACACACGCGGUAUCGGCGUGUACACAUCGAAUCCAAUAAAAACCGAUUUGGCCAAUUUUUCACCGCGCAUAAAUGGAAUUCCGCCGGCGUUGGACGAAGAGAAACGGUGGCCACGGGUACACGCCAGGCCGAUAUUCCGUCGAUUUGUUCGCCGGCCGGGCUGACUAAUUAAUUGAACGAUAAAAUUCAAUUUCGCCGAUACUCGGGAUUUCGUAAUCGGGAUAUAAUUAUAUUAUACGAAAGAAACAGGAAUAACGAUGAGAUAGGACAAACGUUGAAUGUAAACAGGAGAAGAGGUAUAGAGACUUGUAACAGCGGAAAGACUUUUGAUAUAAUUGAUAGAUAAUUAAAAAAGUUUUCUUAUUAAUCGUGCAAAAGGAAAAGUACUUUUAAACUACUUUCCAGAUUUCAGGAAGAAUGUUACAUUUGAAUCGUUGAAAUCGCGAUUCCAGAAAUAAUUUUUUUAAAUGAAAUACACUUUUUCUUGUUCUUCGUAUUAAGCAAAUGAAAUUAAAAUAUCAAGAAAGGAAAGAAUAACGGGAACCAUUCCCGACAAAUGGAAUAACUCAAAACAUACGUAAUAACAAUUUUUUGUGCAAAAUUUUAUUUUAUGCAACAUCUAAGAUCGAUUGAUUUCAACCAAAACGAACAGGAAAUUAAUAAAAAAUAAUUAUAAUAUUUCAGAUAUGAAAGAGACGAUGCCAUCUCGUCAUAUUUCUUCUCUAAAAAUCGAAAGGACGAAAAUGUUGAAGUUGAAUGAUCUUUGAGCGGAUAUGGGCAGGGAAAGGGAAGCGGCGACGAUGUAAGGAGACGGCGUCGAUCGAAGGGGGUCAGUUUUUCGAGAACUGUAGCGUGAAAACGGGCGAAGCCGCGGCGAAUCGUCGCCAGUCACGCCCAGAUACUAUAUUCGCUUUUGUAUUCAAUCCCUGCAUUGCCCCUCGGCAAUUUCGUUUACGUGGACCAAUGGGUCACAAUGGGGGUCUCACAAAGGGAUGAUCGGGUCCCCCACUAAUAAACCGGGGGUUACAGGGGAAAUCGGACUCGUGUGCCGGAUUCUAUCGCGAGGAUGAGUGGGUCAACCGAGAAAUGGCAUACGACCGAAGUCGCUGGCGACGCGACAAGAAACAAAUCGCAUUGCUUCCCGAUCCAAGAGGAAGAGAAAAAUAAGAAUAAUAGAAUCGAAGAUACUUUUCCGUUCUGAUUCUGCGCGAAUUCUCGUGUUACGAAAAGUAUCUACGCGUCGUUUUUAUUCAUUACGCAAUAGUAGAAUAUUUUCGAAUUUGAAUUGUAUGGAUAAAUCGAAUCUACGAGAGAAAUUGUAAAAAUUUAUUGCAACUGCUAUUGUGCUACAUUUAUGCAAAUGUUAUUGCAAGGAAAUUGGCGUAGUCCGUCUUUUCUUUGCGUGGAUUUACAUGGAAAGUGAAGUCAGAGCUCGGUAUCCCCGUUGGCAACGGUUUGAAUACCAAGACUUAUGUAAUGGAGAGUGGUUGGAGGGUGGAUUAGGGUCUCUAGGGCGGAUCUCUUACAUAGUCACCUCCUCGUACUAGGGAGACCUAGUAAUUGGCAUCGUUUCCCAGAGAAUAUUCUUUGUAAUGGAAACUAGGUUUAAUACUUGCAACUUUCGAAGAGUAUUGAACUUCUUGCUUAAUUUUCGAAAUUUUAAAUUUGGCCGGCGCAUUUUAAGAUUGCAUUGCGACGCAAAUGGAAACGAAUGAAGCUCAUUUUGCGCGUAAGCGUUACUUUUUACAUCGCGGAAAAAUAUAUAAUGUGCAAACAAAUGUUGGGAGUUAGGCGAUUUUAAGCGUGAGCUCAAGAUGAAAGUGUUGGACCCAUAAAUUGUAAUAUA